CUACACAUGCAAGUCGAACGGUAACAGGAAACAGCUUGCUGUUUCGCUGACGAGUGGCGGACGGGUGAGUAAUGUCUGGGAAACUGCCUGAUGGAGGGGGAUAACUACUGGAAACGGUAGCUAAUACCGCAUAACGUCGCGAGACCAAAGAGGGGGACCUUCGGGCCUCUUGCCAUCGGAUGUGCCCAGAUGGGAUUAGCUAGUAGGUGGGGUAACGGCUCACCUAGGCGACGAUCUCUAGCUGGUCUGAGAGGAUGAUCAGCCACACUGGAACUGAGACACGGUCCAGACUCCUACGGGAGGCAGCAGUGGGGAAUAUUGCACAAUGGGCGCAAGCCUGAUGCAGCCAUGCCGCGUGUAUGAAGAAGGCCUUCGGGUUGUAAAGUACUUUCAGCAGUGAGGAAGGUGAUUAGAUUAAUACUCUUAUCAUUUGACG
Molecule: ribosomal RNA, 436 nt
Filed under: Enterobacteriaceae bacterium enrichment culture clone MS_H2_O8
Lineage: Bacteria; Pseudomonadati; Pseudomonadota; Gammaproteobacteria; Enterobacterales; Enterobacteriaceae
Description: bacterial SSU rRNA
Rfam family: Bacterial small subunit ribosomal RNA
Source: RNAcentral